CGCGUUCUUGUUUGUUUGGUUUCUUCCAUGGUAAAAUUGUUUGGGUGCCGAACUAAGAGAAUUGAAGGAGAAGAAGAAAUGAGAGAGAGGAAUUGAUUGACCUGGAUGAGCCAAACAACAAUGGUUAUGGCGGCAACACUUCACUAGACAACGUCUUGGAUAUCAUGGUGCUCACUACUGCUGGACUGUUCUAGCCAAAAUUGGCCACAAACUUCGGCUGUUUGGGUCGCAGAUGACAGAGAAGGUGAUGGCGAGCAACUUUCGUGAAGAAACGAUGUCAAGAUAAGGUCGUUAUGGUGACGGAAGGUAGCCAUGAAAUUGGGUUUGCCGCAAGCCGUGACUAUUGGACUGCUCCAACCAAAAUUGGCCAUAAAAGCCAACUGUUUGGGUCAGGUAUUAUGGGAAGAUGAUAGAGGAGGUGAUGGCGAACAACUUUCGUGAAGGAACGACAACGAGAUAAUGUUGUUACGGCGACGGAAAGUCACUGUGAAAUUGGGAAUGUAGCUGCCCUAUUUUCUAGUCGAGAGAGAGACGGGAAGGAUGAGAUUUGAUUUUGGCCAGGCUUUUAAACAAAAAGGGUAUAAUUUUAUUUAAUUUUUCUAAUUUAGACAAGCCCAACAAAUCUGGGCCUCCUCUUUGGCCAAAUCGAAAACAAAAUUUGAAUCCAAGGUAUUAAACCCAAAUAGAAAUACUCUAUGUCUCAAAUCCUAAUUAGUAAGGAUCGUUAUUUCUAAUACCUAGUUUUUCAAAGUCUAAAAUAUCCCUAACAACAACAUCACAUGCCAUUCACAUGGUCAAACUUGACAUAUUUUGUCACGGUAGGACCUACUUGCAACUACUUAUUGAGUUAACGGAUGUAAUUACCUCAAAAAAAAUAUAAAAAAUUGCAGGACUCAAUCGAAACUUGAGGUAAACAAUGGGAUUAGAAAAAAAAUUAAAAAAUAAAUAAAAACCCCAAACUCAAAAAUCACAGUUCAAAUUCAAAGUUGUGAAAAACUAUGGGAUUAUAAAAAACUUAAAAAAUAAAUAAAACAAAUUGAAAACAAACAAGCAUUAGGCAAACCUAAAAAAUUGGUGAGAAAUAGAGAGAGAAGCUCAUCCUUUU
Molecule: long non-coding RNA, 1105 nt
Filed under: Prunus persica (peach)
Lineage: Eukaryota; Viridiplantae; Streptophyta; Magnoliopsida; Rosales; Rosaceae
Description: long non-coding RNA (PPER_LNC006877)
Source: RNAcentral